GGAGGAAAAGAAACUAACAAGGAUUCCCCUAGUAACGGCGAGUGAAGAGGGAAGAGCCCAAGUUUGAAAGCUGGCAUUUGUAUUCAGAUGUCCGCAUUGUAAACUCAAGAAGUGUUUUCUGCACCGGAUCAAAUUCAAGUCCCUUGGAAUAGGGCAUCAUAGAGGGUGAAAGUCCCGUGCUUGAUUUGAAACCCCCGGGGCUUUGUGAUACACUUUCCAAGAGUCGAGUUGUUUGGGAAUGCAGCUCAAAAUGGGUGGUAAAUGCCAUCUAAGGCUAAAUAUUGAGGAGAGACCGAUAGUGAACAAGUACCGUGAGGGAAAGAUGAAAAGAACUUUGGAAAGAGAGUUAAACAGUACGUGAAAUUGCCGGAAGGGAAGGGUAGGAAGUCAGACAUGCCUUUGCAGAUUCAGCCUUGUGCUUUAUUGGACUUGGUGCAUUUUUGUAUUGGCUUGCUAGCAUCGGUUUGUAUUGACAGAUAUAGGCUUAGGGAAUGUGGCUUAGCUUUCGGGCAAAGUGUUAUAGCCCUUUGCUGAGUAUGACAAUAUAGACCGAGGAUUGCAGCGCACCCAUUUUAGGGCGGGCCUUUCGGGGCACCUUUGCGCUUAGGAUGCU
RNAcentral lists this ribosomal RNA (613 nucleotides) under Antherospora vaillantii. Its description in RNAcentral is "LSU rRNA". It matches the Rfam family "Eukaryotic large subunit ribosomal RNA", at positions 52 to 627 of the family's 3401-position model. Lineage: Eukaryota; Fungi; Basidiomycota; Ustilaginomycetes; Urocystidales; Floromycetaceae. The record is from RNAcentral.